Molecule: unclassified non-coding RNA, 262 nt
Filed under: Fellomyces sp.
Lineage: Eukaryota; Fungi; Basidiomycota; Tremellomycetes; Tremellales; Cuniculitremaceae
Description: partial contains 5.8S ribosomal RNA, internal transcribed spacer 2, and large subunit ribosomal RNA
Source: RNAcentral
AGCACCUUGCGCCUCUUGGUAUUCCGAGAGGCAUGCCUGUUUGAGUGUCAUGAAAUCUCAAUCCGCAUGGGUUUUUGACCCGUGGUGGACUUGGACUUGGGCGUCUGCCUCCCCAGGCUCGCCUCAAAUGACUCAGUGGGAUCCUUGCGACCUAUGCCUGACGUAAUAAGUUUCGUCUCGGCCGGACGCUUGGGCCUGCUCAUAACACCCCAUAUCUUUUGACAUUGACCUCAAAUCAGGUAGGGCUACCCGCUGAACUUAA